CCCUUAGAUGUUCUGGGCCGCACGCGCGCUACACUGACGAUGGCAACGAGUUUUUCCUUCGCCGAAAGGUGUGGGUAAUCUUUUGAAACAUCGUCGUGCUGGGGAUAGAUCAUUGCAAUUUUUGAUCUUGAACGAGGAAUUCCUAGUAAGCGCGAGUCAUCAGCUCGCGUUGAUUACGUCCCUGCCCUUUGUACCCACCGCCCGUCGCUACUACCGAGUGAAUGGUUUAGUGAGGACUCCUGAUUGGCGCCGCCGCCCCGGCAACGGAGCAGCGGACUGCCGAAAAGUUGUUCAAACUUGAUCAUUUAGAGGAAGUAAAAGUCGUAACA
RNAcentral lists this ribosomal RNA (329 nucleotides) under uncultured eukaryote. RNAcentral describes it as "partial 18S ribosomal RNA". It matches the Rfam family "Eukaryotic small subunit ribosomal RNA", at positions 1470 to 1796 of the family's 1831-position model. The record is from RNAcentral.